Long non-coding RNA from Octopus bimaculoides (California two-spot octopus), 633 nucleotides. RefSeq lists it as uncharacterized. The record is from RefSeq and is a predicted model, not a curated record. Lineage: Eukaryota; Metazoa; Mollusca; Cephalopoda; Octopoda; Octopodidae.
GAUCCACACAGCAACAGGUGCUCUCUCUCUUCGCACAUCUCUUUCUAUGGUUCCCUCCAAUUAAUGCAAAUAACCAGGAGCAACGUGUUGAUGGUGAUGAUGAUAAAGAUAAUGAAAUAUUGAAGGUAGGAAGUAUUUCAUGAAAGUAGCCUUGUCUUAGGGACAAGGCACCUCAAGUAACAAGAUUCCGGGACAUAUUCAGAUUAUUUUGAUGCCAUUAUAUUAAACAUUUGCGAAGAGAAACCAUGCCAUGCACAAAAAAUUCAGCACAACUGUCAGAUUUUCAAAGAGGUCAUAUUGUUGUGCAAUCUGAUGCUGGUCUUAGCCAGCGAAAAAUUGCCGAAAAUCUUCAAAUUCCUCUUGUUACUGUUAAUAGAAUUAUAGUGCAAUUCAAAAGCCAAGGAAAAGAAUCAACAGAUUCUCAUCCCGGCCGACCUUGGCCCUCAGAAAGGAAGCUUCACUGCUUGAAGAGAAUUGUGGAAAACAGACCCCGUUUGAAGGCUUCUGACAUUGCAAAACAGCUAGAAGUUAGUCCAAGAAUGUGUGCUACAUAUCUGCAUAAGCUUGGGUAUUAUGGACGAGCAGCUAGAAGAAAACCUCUCCUUCAACCAAUUAAUAUCAAAUAAAAGAUUU